GACGAACGCUGGCGGCGUGCUUAACACAUGCUAGUCGAACGGAAAGGCCCUGCUUUUGUGGGGUGCUCGAGUGGCGAACGGGUGAGUAACACGUGAGUAACCUGCCCUUGACUUUGGGAUAACUUCAGGAAACUGGGGCUAAUACCGGAUAGGAGCUCCUGCUGCAUGGUGGGGGUUGGAAAGUUUCGGCGGUUGGGGAUGGACUCGCGGCUUAUCAGCUUGUUGGUGGGGUAGUGGCUUACCAAGGCUUUGACGGGUAGCCGGCCUGAGAGGGUGACCGGCCACAUUGGGACUGAGAUACGGCCCAGACUCCUACGGGAGGCAGCAGUGGGGAAUAUUGCACAAUGGGCGGAAGCCUGAUGCAGCAACGCCGCGUGCGGGAUGACGGCCUUCGGGUUGUAAACCGCUUUCGCCUGUGACGAAGCGUGAGUGACGGUAAUGGGUAAAGAAGCACCGGCUAACCACGUGCCAGCAGCCGCGGUGAUACGUAGGGUGCGAGCGUUGUCCGGAUUUAUUGGGCGUAAAGGGCUCGUAGGUGGUUGAUCGCGUCGGAAGUGUAAUCUUGGGGCUUAACCCUGAGCGUGCUUUCGAUGCGGGUUGACUUGAGGAAGGUAGGGGAGAAUGGAAUUCCUGGUGGAGCGGUGGAAUGCGCAGAUAUCAGGAGGAACACCAGUGGCGAAGGCGGUUCUCUGGGCCUUUCCUGACGCUGAGGAGCGAAAGCGUGGGGAGCGAACAGGCUUAGAUACCCUGGUAGUCCACGCUGUAAACGGUGGGUACUAGGUGUGGGGUCCAUUCCACGGGUUCCGUGCCGUAGCUAACGCUUUAAGUACCCCGCCUGGGGAGUACGGCCGCAAGGCUAAAACUCAAAGGAAUUGACGGGGCCCCGCACAAGCGGCGGAGCAUGCGGAUUAAUUCGAUGCAACGCGUAGAACCUUACCUGGGUUUGACAUGGAUCGGGAGUGCUCAGAGAUGGGUGUGCCUCUUUUGGGGUCGGUUCACAGGUGGUGCAUGCCUGUCGUCAGCUCGUGUCGUGAGAUGUUGGGUUAAGUCCCGCAACGAGCGCAACCCUUGUUCACUGUUGCCAGCACGUUAUGGUGGGGACUCAGUGGAGACCGCCGGGGUCAACUCGGAGGAAGGUGGGGAUGACGUCAAGUCAUCAUGCCCCUUAUGUCCAGGGCUUCACGCAUGCUACAAUGGCUGGUACAGAGAGUGGCGAGCCUGUGAGGGUGAGCGAAUCUCGGAAAGCCGGUCUCAGCUCGGAUUGGGGUCUGCAACUCGACCUCAUGAAGUCGGAGUCGCUAGUAAUCGCAGAUCAGCAACGCUGCGGUGAAUACGUUCCCGGGGCU
RNAcentral lists this ribosomal RNA (1346 nucleotides) under uncultured bacterium. RNAcentral describes it as "partial 16S ribosomal RNA". It matches the Rfam family "Bacterial small subunit ribosomal RNA", at positions 28 to 1381 of the family's 1533-position model. The record is from RNAcentral.